RNAcentral lists this microRNA precursor (108 nucleotides) under Podarcis lilfordi (Lilford's wall lizard). Lineage: Eukaryota; Metazoa; Chordata; Lepidosauria; Squamata; Lacertidae. The record is from RNAcentral.
CCUACUUGCGUGCAAGCAGGAGGGGGUGGGGAUCCCUCAGCUGGGAAGGGAGGCUUCCCGUUGCCUAACUGAGAGAUCCCUGCCCCCUCCUGCUUGCACGCAAGUAGG